AUUUCCAUGCUGUUGGUGUAGUCUAUAAGUGCACAUGCUUUUGAAGCUCUUGCUUUGCUGCUCUGUUCUUGACGUGUUGUUGCUGAAUUGUGGCACACUUUAAACUUGUAGAGAGGAAGACUUCUUUUUUUUUUCCACGGCGCCUGCAGUCCUGACUCAUUCACACUCCGAGGUGACAUUUCACUUAUUAAUAGCACAUACAUAGAGUUUGUUUCAUGCUGCCUCUUUGCUCUCUGAAACAUUCACCAGGAGACCAACUUAACUUAUUCAUAAAUGCAAUUUGAGAGAUGAGUUUGCUGAAUUUUAAUAGUAAGCAUUAGAUGUUGCAGCUGGGAGGUGGAGCUUCUCUGUUUGUGGAUGGGAGGUGGAUACUGUUUGUGUCAGGACAGUGCAUGCUGUGCUGUGUUUGUUGCGUCACUGACAUCUCUGGCACUGGGUAGGUAUGAGUAAUGGGCUUGUGACGGCAGACAGGAGGUGGGACUGUGGGCGGGAGACAUUAACUUAAAUAAACUCGCACAGAGAGUCACGACUGGCUGAAUCGGAUCUCAAGGGAACAUGACACUGUUUGAACUACAGCUACAAGACUUUGUAGUCAUGUGAGCAAAUAGCAUUAACAGAAUGUCUUGGACAACACUUCUCUCUGUAAUUUAACUACUAUAGGGAUGUUUCUCUUGAGGAUUUUUUCACUCUGUCGGAUUUUACCUUAAAUACCUAAAAUUACCUAAAACACAAUAGUUCACAGAUGCGAACUCAUAGAUGCAAAUAAAACAGUGACAAAGAUGUAGUUGAUUCUGUUUUCUUCUUUGUUGCAUUUCCAUCUUUAAGUCGGUCCAUCAGUAGAAAAUGUUCAUGCUGGCUCUCUUUCCCCUUCUUGGGUUAACUCUGAUUCUUGACAGACUGGUUGGUAGUUGGGGGGUGCGUGUGAAAGCAUAUUUGAUACAGCCUGCUGCACUUACACAAGCAUCAUCUUCCCAUGCCAGCUGGUAGCUUCCCUUCUACCUUACAAUGUGUAUGCUUUACAAAAAGUGCUAAAAUCUUCUGCUGGUAAUUUCCUCAUGUAGUGGAAUUUUACAUUUCACAGGACAGUUGUACUAAAUAGUAGGGACGAAACAUAUCAUUUUGACGACAAUAGACCUUUUUCGCAAAAACCGGAAGUACGUCAUCAACGUGUAAACCUAGUUCCGGUUUGUGCUUCGCUGACAGAGGAAUGGCAGAGCCUAGAGUGUUUUCGAAGAGCCUGAGUUGUGUUCCGAAGUUCACCAGCACCGAUGUGAUGAGGAGUGUAAAGAUGCAUUCGUCCACUAAAGGAAACAAAUUGGACAAGGGAUAUAAAUUCGUCCACGAAGAGUUUAUCCACCAUUACCAAGAUAUCGCUGGAUGCAUUAAGUGCCAACCUGAAAGCUUUCUCCUGCAGUUGUGCGGCUGCUAAAGGAUUCUGCAAUGACAUCCUUUUGCCAUCCUGUUCCAGAGCGCACAUUAUUCACAGCUGGUUUGCAGGCUGCUCCACCCACCCUGUCCUGCACGAGUGACUUGCAAAGACGGCACAGACCAAGAGCACAGGGAAUCCAUCCUGAACCGGUUAGUGAGCUGGUGGUGCAAAGGCCCAAAAC
This is a non-coding RNA of Oryzias latipes (Japanese medaka), 1610 nucleotides long. The record is from RefSeq and is a predicted model, not a curated record. NCBI's taxonomy places the organism in Eukaryota, Metazoa, Chordata, Actinopteri, Beloniformes, Adrianichthyidae.